RNAcentral lists this long non-coding RNA (32412 nucleotides) under Malus domestica (apple). RNAcentral's name for it is "long non-coding RNA (MDOM_LNC017323)". Lineage: Eukaryota; Viridiplantae; Streptophyta; Magnoliopsida; Rosales; Rosaceae. The record is from RNAcentral.
GUCCUCUUCAAUGGCAGCGAGCGGAGUGCUCACGUCGCGAUCGUCGGUGUUGCCGAACUCGAAGCAGACCCAGAACAUCAGCCGCCUCUCCUUCAGCGGCUCUCAUCUCUCCGGGACCAAAAUCCCUGCCCCGCCCCCAGCACCUGUACGAGGAAAUGCCCCACUCACAGAGGCCCGCCGCUGGUUGUCUCUCCGAAAGCUGUUUCCGAUUCCAAGAACUCCCAGACGUGUCUUGAUCCCGAUGCGAGCCGGGUAAGUGAUUCAUUUCUCUCCCUCUCUAUCGCAUUUCGUGCUUUUGUUUCUAUGCAUUCGCAUAAUGUGUUCUUGUUUAGAUUGAAAUUUUGGGAAUUUUGUUUGUGUUAAUGUGUAGAGUGUGUUGGGGAUUAUCCUGGGUGGGGGAGCUGGGACGAGGCUUUACCCAUUGACCAAGAAGCGUGGGAAGCCUGCUGUUCCAUUGGGAGCAAACUACAGGCUGAUCGAUAUCCCAGUCAGUAAUUGCCUCAACAGAAACGUGUCCAAGAUCUAUGUGCUGACCCAGUUCAAUUCCGCUUCGCACAAUCGCCAUCUUUCUCGUGCUUAUGCCAGUAACAUGGGUGGCUACAAAAAUGAAGGCUUUGUUGAGGUUCUUGCUGCUCAGCAGAGCCCCGAGAAUCCCAAUUGGUUUCAGGUGAUGAAAAGCUUGUUUCAAAUUGUGGGGUUGUGUUGGAAAGCGGGUUUCGAUUGGUUUUUGAGUAUGGAUUUUUGGUUUUCAUUGGUUUUUGAGUUGGGAUAUUUGGUUUUGGUGCUUUACAGGGUACCGCGGAUGCCGUGAGACAGUACUUGUGGUUGUUUGAGGAGCACAAUGUAUUGGAAUUUUUAGUUCUUGCUGGGGAUCACUUGUAUAGGAUGGACUAUGAGAGGUUUAUUCAGGCGCACAGAGAAACUGAUGCAGACAUCACUGUGGCUGCUCUGCCCAUGGAUGAGAAGCGCGCUACCGCCUUUGGUUUGAUGAAGAUUGAUGAAGAGGGAAGGAUUAUUGAGUUUGCUGAGAAACCUAAAGGGGAGCAGCUCAAAGCUAUGAAGGUGAACGAUCCACUUGCAGAUUGUUUUUCAUUAUUUAGUGCAUUACAUAUUCGUUUCAUUGUGAACUUCGAUUGCUUGUGGGUUUAGGUGUGUGAUUGAUUAGUGAUGCAAAAUGUUGUUGUUUCUGUUUUUGUUAUAUAGGUUGAUACUACUAUCCUGGGUCUUGAUGAUGAGAGAGCAAAAGAGAUGCCUUAUAUUGCCAGCAUGGGUAUAUAUGUUGUGAGCAAAAAUGUGAUGUUAGAUCUACUUCGAGACAAGUUUCCUGGUGCAAAUGAUUUCGGGAGUGAAGUUAUUCCAGGCGCAACUUCCAUUGGUUUGAGAGUAAGUUUUUAUUCAUAUAUUUUAUUCUGUAAUUUCUAUGAAAGAUCAAUCAAAAGAGGUGGAAAAGAUUGGAAUAAUUGUUGGUAUUACAUAAUUGCAAAUAUCUUUCAUUCGAAACUGAACAAAUCUCUUUGUACUGAAAAAGAUAGUGUCCUAAAUUGAUUUUAUAUGAUCUGCUAAAUAUUUCCCAGUUCCAUAGUUUCUGUCCCCGCUACCCUUCAUCUGGAUAUUCAUCUCCCAAAAUACUAAUUAUUAAUGCCUACAGGUUCAAGCUUAUUUGUAUGAUGGCUACUGGGAAGAUAUUGGUACCAUUGAGGCUUUCAGCUUUCUACAACGCAAACUUGGGGAUAACAAAAAAACCAGUUCCAGAUUUCAGGUACCUUUUAUUCUAUAACUUGUUUGUAUUCCUGUUUUGUUUGGCCAAUUCAUAUGUUAUGCUAUCAGUUUGAUCUGGAUUUAGUAUUCCGGCCUAAUUUUGAACUUUAUACUGUAACUUUUAUGAUCAUUCAUCCCCAAUUUAGUAUUCCUGUUCGUAUAUUGAUGCGUGAUAUUUUUUUAUUCGGGUUGUUAAAUUCAUGUUAUUGACAAAAAAAUCAUAUGGGAUUUAUUUUGAUUCAAGGGAUAUUUUAAUCUAGAGUAAAGAGCGGGGAGGGGUAUUCGAAGUUGAGUUUGGGUGCAGAAGGGGAGCACGCUGCACUAACGAACUUGCUUACGCCACUGGAUAUGGUCUUUAUUAAAAACAGGUAGAGAGUAUAUGCAUAGAUGUUAUGUGUAUUAUGUGUGUGUAUAGGCAUAAAAUUUUUAGAUCUCAUGUUGAUUUCUAUUAUACUAUGUAUGUGUGUUGAUUGUGGAGAAUGUGAUGUAGCAGUGAUGCGCAUGUUUGGGGAUGGAAUUCUUGUUGAUUUCUUGGCAUAGAGUUUUUACUUCCACUUCAUGGAUUCUGAUAACCAUUACAACAGCAACAACAACGACAACAAUAGCAGGAACAAUGAUUCAGCCACAAUAAAAAUAAAUUCCCAUGCUGAGGUCAGCUUUAAAUUCUUUAGCUGUAUAUAGUAUCAAAGGCAUUUUCUUUUGGUAGCAGUGAUAAUCUUUGGUAACAAAGAUUUCGACUCCACAGAUGGGAUCAACACAGCCCAAAUCAGUGUUUGAGUUUGAGGAUCAGAGCCUAGUUGGGGGCGAGAAGCAUUCAUUGGACGAGGCUCCCCUCAGGGCUCUAUAUUCUGGUGGUGCAAAUGACUGUUGUCCCCAUGUCUUGAAGAAUAGUGUUGUCGAUAGCAUCAGGAUUGUAGUUUUCUCUGCCAAAAUUAAUUUGCUCAUUCCUUUUGGCCCUUUAGCAAUCGUAGCAAUCGUGGUUGAUAAAUUAACCGGCCAUCAUGUGAGUUUUCACUAUCUUUUUCUGUGUGCGAAUCUCUCGGAUCAUCACACGAUUGUAUGCCUAGUUUAUUUGAUUUUUUUAACGCGUUUCAGGGUUAGGUCUUUCUUUUAAGCUUGUUGGGAAUCAUACAUUUGGCGGAGCGAUUAGUCUAUGCCACAGAGUAAGAUUUCUUGCAUUCUCUUUGUAUUCUUUGUUUACAAAAAGAAAUGUUUACAAGUGGAAUCCAACAGCCUUGUUUGAACAACCAUCCAGUUAACUUGAUGUAUUAGAAAACAACAUUUGUUAGUGUUUUAGCAUAUUAGGGUUUAAUCUGCGUGCACAUGAGACGGACAUCCAUAUCAACUUAAUUUGCCAUCGAUAUGCAUUAUUGAGUACCUAAUACAAGCUUGGCUUCUUUUGAUGCAGGCAGCUGGCUUGCUAUACUGGACCAACAGGUAAGCAUGUUGUAAAUGCAAAUAUCCAUUUUUCUAUUUCCAUAGUCUUCAUAAAGCUUCAAGUUUGUGUCACUGAUCAAUGCCAGAUUCCAUAAAUCUUCAUAAAGCUUGUAAGUUUGGUUUGAGCACUCUAAAAUUAUCUUCAUCCAGCCAGUACUUCACCUGCAUCACAUGUUUCCUUUCACAUUUAACCCUAAAUUUUGAAAGCGGUCGCACUAACUUUACAAUUAAUAUUCAUUUGUUGAUCCAAAAAUGUUAUCCAUAACUCCAAUUAUGAGUUAAUUCUGCAGUUGGAGGUGUUUUGAAUGCCACCUUUGGAAACGCAACAGAAUUGAUAAUAUCAAUUUACGCUCUGAAAAGAGGCAUGAUUCGUGUUGUUCAACAAUCCUUAGGCUCAAUCUUAUCGAACGUGUUGCUCGUGCUUGGAUGCGCAUUCUUUGCUGGUGGACUUGUGCAUUCACAGAGGGAGCAAGUGUUCAACAAGGUACAUUUCAUCUGUGAAAAAGAGCGCUUUGUUUAUUUGGUUUUAUUUUCUGUAUUUGAUCUUCCUCGUCUCUCUCUUCACCAACCCCUCUCUCUCCUCUCUCUGUCAAACCAGUUUCUCAUCAAUCUCCAUCCAUGUCAAUAGGCCAUAUCCAAAGGCACCGAGAAUCCCAAAGAUCCCAAGAGGUUAAGUUGUAAGCUCCAAAUAUCCAAUCCCUUUUCAUUCUCAUUAGCAUUAGAUUUCAAGAUCCACAAUUGAAAAAAAAAAAAAUCAAUGUGAAACUUUUUACCUAACCUAUUCAAUGAUUGCUAACCCAACAAUUUUACAUAUUUGUUGGUGUAGCACAUGAAAAUGGAGGUGGCAAGAAAUAUUUGAUGAUUAAAUUGCUACCGAUCAAACCUUAAACAUUACACAUCUCUUUCUCAUCCUCAAUCCGCAUGCUUAUUCAAUCCGCGAUAUUAUUAUAUUUUUUUCCGAUCAUCAACUCCUAUCGGAAGUAUACAUCAGUUUUGGUGAACAAAUUUCGCGACUCUAGCAUUAUUGUUUCGAGAAAGCAUCUACAUUUGCAAAGAUGCAGUCUUUGAGUCGAUCAAUACGAGGUCAAUCAUUACAUGAGCCUCCACCAUUUGCAGAGAAGAUCACAGAAGACCCUGUGACAACGAAAACCGCACAAAGCACGGUGACUUGCGUCUACCUUGCAAAUAUUGCGACAUGUUGGCGGAAGGUGACGAUCAUAUGGUGUAAGAACCUCAUGAACCAUUCCCUCAGCAUUCGGAUUGAUAGCUUAGACGGCGGUUUUCAUUAUACGUGCAAAAUCGACCUAAAGCCAUGGAAUUUUUGGAGCAAAAAAGGGUAUAAGUCAUUCGAGGUCGAAGGGAAUCAAGGGGAGGUUUGUUGGGAUCUUCAUUCUGCAAAAUUUGGCGGCGGCCCAGAACCUUGUUCUAACUUUUAUGUUGCUCUUGUUUGCGAUGAGGAGAUUGUGUUGUUAUUGGGAGACAUGAAGAAAAAGGCAUACAAGAGAACAAAAUCCAGACCAGCCCUUGUGGAGGCACUUUUAUACCACAAAAAAGAAAACGUGUUUGCCAAGAAAAGUUUUGCCACAAGAGUGAAGUUUGAUGAGAAUAUAAAAGAGCAUGACAUUGUCGUGGAGAGCUCAACAUCGGGCUCCAUAGACCCCGAAAUGUGGAUCAGCAUAGAUGGGUUUGUGUUGAUUCAUGUCAAGAAUCUGCAGUGGAAAUUCAGAGGGAAUCAGACCGUAAUGGUGAACAUGCAACCGGUUCAAGUUUUCUGGGACGUGCACGAUUGGCUUUUCAGCAGCCCCGGGACUGGGCACGGGCUGUUUAUUUUCAAGCCAGGGCCGCCGGAAUCAGAGAGCGAUCACGACAGAGAUGGCAACGGCGGCAUAGACAGUGAUCAUAGCAGUCCUUAUUAUUCAACUCAGACUAGUAACUCAACAUCUUCUGACUUCUGCCUGUUUCUUCAUGCAUAUAAGAUUGAGUGAGGGAAACUAACUCAUAGAAAAAGGAAAAAAAAAACAGAAAAUGGUUGUAAAAUUGUAAAUUAUGGUCGUAGCAUUACUUCAUAUAUAAGGUUACUCUAAUAUUCAUUUGAUAAUUUGUAAAUUGAACUUUUUUAACUGUUGGUGUCACCCGUUUAGUGCUGUUAUAGGAUAGUGGGUAGCCUUUGGUAGGGAAGGUAUUUGGAGGAUGAUGAAUGGUGGGAGGCAUAUAUAAUAAUGUAAAAUUGUAUUCGUAUUAUAUAUGCAGGAAAUUAAGAAAAUUAAGGUCUAGAAAUGCUAUUCCAUGAUCUACUUAUUCUUGCAAUUUUUCAAGUGGAUUUAUUAUUAAAUUCUUGCCAUUUUUAUUUUCUGUGUGUGGAAAAUUAAAGGGGUGUUGGUGUAAUGUGGAUAUGGCUAGGGUUUAAGGACCGAUAUUACUGUUAAUUUUCAGGAUAAGAAAGUGAAAAGAAAAUGCUUUGAAUUAAUAUUCAAGUAUCAAACGUUACGACACUGAACUAUGUUCCAGAGUUUAAUUGUAGCCAAAACCAUGAAAAAUGGGUGGAUGAAUUGAUUCAUUUUACACUUGUUUCGAUAGAUUAAUCCAAGGCAAAUCAUGCAAAAUUACUUUUGAUUUUCUUAUUCACUGGUGUUAAAUUGGUUGAAGUGGAAAAAGUUCAAGAAGAUCAAUGGUCAAGAGAUUCUAGCAAAUUAGGGUUACAUAUAUGAAAUUUUAGCAAAAACUUCAUCCAAAUUUUGAAACCACCUGGGAUUCAGACUAGCUAAGCUGCUUCCAAUUUCAACAAAACCUCAUCUGUCUUAACUUUUAAGAGAUGUAUGUCAAAACAUCGAGAAAAACUUGUGUAGGGCUUGACUUGCCAUUGGAUUUUACUAAGUGGCACUACAAUCCAAUCAAAAUUCACCACAUGGUAAGUCUAAGUAUAAUCUUUUAUUUUUUAUAUUUAAAGCUCUUAUAAUUUUUUUCUUACUAAUUAAUAUACACCACGAGAAUAAUUUAGUGAUUUUUUUUUCCUCUUCUCCUCUCCCUCUUUUUUCUUCCCAAAUUUUCUCUACUGUCUUCUUCCCCACUCUUUGUCUUUCCUGUCUUCAUAUGAAUAUGGAAAAAAACAAUUAAGUCAUCUUCUCCCACUAUCAUGAAAUGGAAAAAAAAUAUCCAACACAUAUUUCAUAUUUUACACAAAAGCUGUAUUUUUACAAGAGUUGUUCGUUCAUUUAAAAUUUAAUUAUAUACUUUUAACAAUAUUAUAAAUAAUAAUGAACAUUUUGAUAUUUUAAACACAAAACUUACUAAAGUGAUUAAGAUUGCAAAUGUUGGAAACCCAGUGACCAAAACCGACUGUUGAUGAUACAAGGUGAGUUAGAAUCACAUACCUGAAGAAAACUAUAUUUUUAUAUAUACAUUCAGGUCGGUGAAAAGUAAAAAAGGAAAAAUAGAUUUUGAAAAAUAUUACACAACAAAGGAAAAAGGAACAAACUUCCAUCUCCAUUUUCCUUUUCCCAGCAAUUGAAAGGACUUGGGAAGAAAAUUUUAAUGGCUUAAUUUUUUUUUAUCAUAUUCUUAUGAAGAAAGGAAAGGAAGACACGAGUGGGAAAAAAAACAUUAGAUUAAUCUCAUGGUGUGUAUUAAUUAAUAGAAAAAAUAAUUAUGAGAGCUUUAAAUAUAAAAAAGUAAUAAAAGUUUUAUAUUGUAGAAUUGUCAUGCGGUGAGUUUUGAUUGGAUUGUAGUGUCACUUAGCAAAAUCCAGUGACAAUAUAAGUCUCACACAAGUUUUUCUCCAAAACAUCAGCCAUUAUAUUAAAUUUGAAUAUUUCCUAAUCUGACUUAUUUUCAUUUUAUCAAUAAAUAAUAUGUGAAGUUUGUAUGUUGCAUUGAAAAAGUGUACAAUAUAUACUUUCACAUUUUGGGAAAAAAGGCAUAAUUUAACUACUCAUUGAGAUUGUAUGAAAAAAUAAAAAAUAUGCAUGUAUGAUCGUAAAACGCGUAUUGAACCGCACUAUACUUUCAUAUCUCAUCACUGCACCACCGCGAAGUACUCUUUGUUGGCUCUGAUGGACAGAGGAAGCUAGGUUGGCCGAAAUAUAUUUAUCAGGUCAAACGUGAUGUGCCAUUAAUUUUUUAGAAUAAGAAAAGAUAGAGAAAUUUUCUCAAGCCAAUAUUCAAGUAUCAAGCAUAUAUCAUGCGGCGUGCCAUUAAUUCUAAGGAAAACUAAUGAAAAGGGCUUGAAAACUUUGAGUUUUAAUGAUAAGGACAAAAUAAAGGGUAAAGUGAAUAGUACCAGGAUUGACUUUUUAGUGUAAAAAUGUGGUUUUUCGUUAAAGUGAACAGUACCGGGAGCUUUUCGUUAAAGUUCCCUUAAUUCUACAGUUGAUUUGUUAGAGAAAUUGGUCUAUUCUACUCAUUUGUCACCUAAAACAAGAUUCGAAUCGUACUGUACUUUCUAAAAUUGAAAAGUCGUCACUUAACUCCUUAAAAGUUGAAUUCUAUCUCAAUUGGUCUUCUUUCGUCUACUCUAUCUACAAUCUAAUUAAGUUACUUCUGUGACUUUCAAGGAUUAAGUGACAAAUUUUUAGUUUUGAAUGGGAAAUGAAUAAUCAAAGCAAGCCAUAAACCUUACCCCAUAAAGAAGAAAAAAUAAAUGCCAUUGAUUUAGCUACUUAGUACUACGAUCUUAUGGUAUUCAUUUUCACUUGGAAGUGAGAGUUCUUAAGUUUGAAUAUCAUGAUGGCGAAUUCGAUACCAAAUUAAGCUGCCCAUUGUGUUGCUUAGCCAAACACCUCAUCCGCUUAUUUAAACUACACAAAAAUAAUAAUAAUAAUAAUAAUAAAUAAUAAAAUAAAAAAAAAAAAAAAAAAAAGCGGCACUCGAUCUCCUAGAAAUUGCAAGUGCGCGCACCUCCGGACAUUGGUUAGAAGAUAGAGCAGAAAGAAAAUGAAGGUUGGUUCGAAGGUAGUGUUUCUGCUGAGAGACUCAGAGGGCUUCGGCGAAGCCAUCUCAGCUGCUUUCCGCCCAAAUCCAAGCAAUUCUACUGUGUAAGAUCUCUUCCUAAUAACCCUUUUAAGGUUCGCCAAAAAAAAAAAAAUAACCCUUUUAAGUUUGAGAUCAAAUUCAUAUUAUAUCGAUUGAUUUCGGUGCGCCAAUUUGUUGCAGAGAAGAAAGUUUCGAGCUUUCAUUGGAGCGCUAUGGAAUCCAAAAUUGCAAAGCUUCUGGAACCCUUCGCCACUUCCUCGAUCCCCAGGGCCAAUAUGAGGUUCCCCUUCUCUCUCUUCCUCUCUCUCUCUCAUGGAAUUGUUUAGGACCCAGAAGCGGGAUUGUAUUCGUAUAGAUUCUGUCUCGUAUAGAUUAGAUUCUAUGUGGGAUUUGGGUGUUGAGAAAUGGGUCGUGUAUUUUGUAAUGAAAUGUGUACUAGUUUUUAUGGUGAAAGUGAAAUUUGUGACAAUUUGGGGUUUAGAUUGUGUGUGAUUGAAAUUGAAAACGAUGCUGGUUUUUCAAAACCAUGUGGGGUUUAAAAUCGACUCGGUGUUAUGGAAUUGUGAGUGAUCUGUGAGGUCUAAAGGGACCUGGUUGCAGGCGUUUUUCGAAGAAUGCUUGUAGAUUUGGUUUCUAUGCCCAUAGUGGUAGAAACCCAUUAAAUUACUUUGUAAAAGUUUUGUUCCUUUGUGUUUCAGAACUCAUGCUGUGACGAUAACAGUGGAAGGUUCCACAUUAUUUUUUUAUGCAGUUUUCUGUUUUUCAUAAAGUUUAUCCAUCUACACUGCUCUGAAAUGCUUUAGUUGUUAGGAUGUGAGCCAACAGCUUUGAUUUGUGUUGAGUUUGUCGGUUUAUUACUAUUUCCAACAGCUUGAGUUACUAGGACAGAGUGAAUAACUAUUUUAUUUAUCUUCUAACAUAUCUUGAAGAUAACAGAUUAGGGGAACUUUAAAAAAAUUUCUCUUCAAUUUUGUCUUUUUCAGGUGUCUGUGCUGCUUAUGGAAUACCAUGAACCGCCAAUACUAGCCUGCGCUAUUAGUGAAGUUCUAGCACAAUUAGCAGGGCAGAAUUCAUCCUCAGUUCCCACAGUCGUUGCCCCGUUUUUCCUAGAGUCAUCCAAGCUAAAGGGGGAAAGUAAAUCUGCAACAAAAUUUGAAAGCAAAUGUUCACUUUAUGGUAUAGAGAUUGGUUCAGAAACAGCCAUAAGCAAGGCUAUGGCAACCAAAACCCAGAAGCCACAGCCAUCCUUGCAGAUUCAUCAUGAACCUUUGGCUUGCUUUCUUCAGUUGGUCCGUGUUUUGAAGUUGCCAGUAUAUGUUCUUAUUGGGCAAAGAGGUCAACACGUUUAUGAUAAAGAAGAGUUUCAGGUAUACAGUCUUUUUUAUUACUUUAUCUAAUGCAACUGUCAACAUUCAGUUUACCUAGAAUUUUUGUGACAUAUGAUUGAAUUCGAGUUGGGUUUGGAGGCCAUGUGAUUUGUAUUUCUACGAUUUGCUUGAGAGAUGAGUGGGAAAAAUAGUGUAUGCUCAGUUUCUCCAUGUUCCACUGCUGAAAAUAAGUCGUUUAGCCUUGUUUCUUUCUCUUCCUUAUAGUUCUCUAUGAAUCUGUCUGUUUCCCGAGUGUUCGUAUAUUGUCUAACUCUAGGUGGAUUCUUUUUCAGAUACUUUAUGAGAUUGGAGAACUUUUAGCAAGCACUUUGAACCUUUCCUUUUCAAGAGACAAGAUCACAUGGAAUCCAACAAGAAAAUCAAAAGACGAUCGGGAGCCAUGGCGUGCGUUAUAUGGUUAAACCUCUACUGUCUGACAUUAGAGGUUGGGACAAGAUCUAUCGUCGGGUGCAUCAGGUUGAAAAAAACUUUCAGUUCUUACUGUGAUUGAUAGAUCUAUGUUCAACAUCAUAGUGCUUAGACGUAAAACUACUUAAUCUGGAUUCUCAGUUUGUGAACUGGCCAUGAAGAUAAUGAAAUAGCUUUUGCUACAGUUUAAAUUUACUUAUGGCUUUUCGUUUCCUUUCUUUAUUGGUUUCAUUAGUGAACUGGUCUAUUGUCUUAAAGAUGAUGGGAUAAUCUGAAUGAUUAGUUCAUGUGCGCAUCCUGUUGGGUGCCUUGUGUGCUUCUUAUUCGAACUUGUAAUGUAGUAACUACAAUCAAAUCAUUCAUCAUACAAUAAAAACGAAUCAGUCAAUACACAAAAACAAGAUGUCAUUUACUAAUACGUCUAGUGGUGUUUCUCUUCAUUUGUAAGUGAGAGGUUCCAAAUAUACCACAAAUUUAUUCCUUAAUAUAUAAUCCAUCGAAUCAGUUACACCUCUAAUUUUAGGAUCCCACAUAAACAGAUACAAUAAGAAAUAUAAAAUAAUGAAAUACCUUACAACCAGCGUUCCACAUUCCUAUUGAAUAUUCCUCUUCCGUACGUAGAAGCGGUAAUUCUAACUAGAAGGGGGAAUUGCAUCCAAACAAAUAAAGUGACUGGAACACUUGAAAGAAGUAUGGUCGGAAUCACAAUCCAGGAGUGUCCACGAACUAUAAUUAGAAAGGCAGCGGAAAACGCAAUCAUCAUGGUUGCAAUAGCCAAAAAGAGAGUGGCAAGACCAAUUAUGAUUUUUGUUGGUAAGGAUUUCAGGAAAUCAUCUUCUGCAAAACGUGACGUGAGAAUUCCGAGAAACGUCAACGUUGCAGUCGUGGAAGAAAAUAGUGAUAUAGCAUCUGACAUUAUAAAUAACAUAAACAAUUUUUCAUCGAUGAAUGCGGGAAAGCCGGUAUCUCCAUUUCCUCCAGGAAUUGUGAUUACUGCAGCAAACAUGAUGGUAAAUAUAAGAGCACCUACAAUAAUGUAAGAAGUUGCCGUCUCUUUCAUCCAUUUUUCUCCCUCCUUUAGCAAUCUACUGUGAGUCUUUGUAAAUAGUUCCCUUGGUGUCAAAUGUUUACCUUUGUUCCUAUACUCACGAAAGUUGGGAGGUACAAUAGUCUCUACUUCCUGCAUUGCAUUGAACAACAAGAACUGACAUAUGAGAGCAUAAUAUAUAAUUUUCUAUAAUCUUUAUUAUAUUAGGAUUAACCACCUACUUUUUACAUUCUAAGAUUUGUAACUUGUGUUAGGUUGUGUUACUUUUAACAUUUGUACUGACAUAUGAGAGCACCUACAAUUGGUCAUGAUGUUCAAUAGGUUGUGUUAAUUUUACAAUUUGGGUUAGGUUGAACAUCUGCUUUCAAUAGAUCCAAAAAGUAAAUAACUAACUCUUUCAAAAUGCAGAAUCUUUAAUGCAAGAAACUUUUUAGGAAAACAAACUAAGAUUGACACCUAGUAAGCAGACAAGGGGACUUAUAAUUCAGUUAGUUAAGAGCAUUUUUCCGAAGUGUCGAGUCCAAUUCUUCCCUUCCUCCCCCAGUACCUAAUAGUUGAUGCUAGAUUUGGAUGAUUAUUACAAAAAGGGAAAACAAAUCCAGAACCUCUCGAACACUUAAUUUGAUUCUUUCAGUUUAUAUAGGCAGAGUAAUCAAGAAUUAUGUCGAGUGAGAAAUCCUAACCUUGUACCAUUGUAGUUCACGCUGCAUUUGCAAUGCUGCCCCUGGAAUACGAUUAAGUUGUGCUUGUGCAGAUGGGGACAACAACCCAGCCAUGUGUAGCUUGUUAUUAUUAUUCUUGUCACCACCAUGUAUCACCUCUUUCGAAGAGAUCCCAUAUAUAAGGUUAUAAAUCUUUUCUUGACGACAUUGGAUCGCAACGUCAAAUAUGCCUCUUGACUCGUCAUCUCUUGACCACAGAAGUACAGGAUUUGCUUUACAUAUAUGAGUAAUAAACUCCACAUUCCCCUUCCUAACAGCCUGGAAGAUUGCCGAUCUCAAAGUGCCAUAACUUACUUGUUUCAUAUCCAAAUCUUUCUUUAUCUCUUCGCACAUGAACUUUAAAAAUUCAAGUGAGUGGACAUGGACAAACUUCAUUUCAUAUAUGCGGUUGAUUCCUGAGUUCAACAUUUAAAACCCAAAUAUUUAGGACUUAAACUGCUUUAGAUAAUUGAUUUGAAUUCCAAUUUACAACAAAUGAAAUUGUUACUAGCAUACCAGGUAUCUCAACGAUUUUCGAAACAAGCCUUUCCCUUAGUUUUUCUGAAUGAGAAGCAAGCUGUUCCAUUAAACCUCCCGCUGCGAUGGAAAAAAAGUUGGUCAAACCUAUGGAGCAUGUUGUUAGAUGUACAACCGACCAAAUGGAACUUGCAUAAUGGAAAUCCAAUGUUUGUAGACCAAGAAGGGUUUCAUAACCCUAGAGCUGCCAUUUUGACCGACUGUUGACUUUUUAACCAACAUGCCUCAAGCUCUAUCCUAAGAUACCACUAAAUUUGACAGUAGUUGGACCUCACACAUUUAAGACAAUCUCCAAAAGAGAUGUCAAAUAUGCCAAAUAAGAUUAAAAGAUAUUCAAGUGUUCUCUAAUGGAUAUGCCAUAUAUGAUGUGGUAUGUGAGUUAUUUGACUUCUUACUUUUUAGCUGCAUUUUUUGACACAAACAAAGAAGGAGUCAAAUAUAUUUAAUUUAAUUUGUUAAUGCAUGAGUCCCAUUAACAACCAUAUAAUAAAAUAAAUAUUUGACACAUUUAUUGGAAAAGAAAAUGAUUUAACACUUAUAUUCAAUUUGCCACAUCAACCAUCCAAUAAAAUUUUGACAUACUAUAUUUAACAUCUAUUUUGAAGAUACUCUGAGUUCUCAUUUCUUGAUAGUACAUUGUCUCGACCUCGGGAACUAUGAGAAGUGCGACGUGUAUACAUUGGCUUGGUAACUUAUUUGACAGAACAUAAUCACAGAACACUGUUGUCUCUAUAAAGAGGAUUUGUUGAAUAUUAUAAAAUGUGUGAAAAAAUGGCUUUUGAGCCUUUACAAAGCAACUAAACAUGGCCCUAGUGUUUAGUAUAUUUAAAUAAUAUGUAAAUUUAAAACUAUAUUAAUAAAAUUCUUUUUGUCAACUAAAAACGGAUAAAAAGACUAUAUUAAUAAAAUUCUCUUUGUCAAACUAAAGGCUGGUUUGGUAUUGCUGUACUUUGAAAAAAAGCUGUUUCUGCUGUACUGUGUGAAUAAGCGGCUGUGAAAUAAAACUGUAGAGUGUUUGGUAAACUUUUUUGUAAAAAUGCUUUUGAAAAAGAAAAAAAAACAGUAUUAUAGUGUUUGGUAAACUUUUAUGUAAAAUAGAUGUGAAAAAAAUUCUCUUUGUCAACUAAAAGCGGAUAAAAAGACUAUAUUAAUAAAAUUCCCUUUGUCAAACAAAGGGCUGGUUUGAUAUUGAUGUACUUUGAAAAAAAACUGUUUCUGCUGUGCUGUAAGAAUAAGCGACUGUGAAAUAAAGCUGUAGAGUGUUUGGUAAACUUUUUUGUAAAAAUGCUUUUGAAAAAAAAAAACAGUAUUAUAGUGUUUGGUAAACUUUUAGGUAAAACAGAUGUGAAAAAAAACUGGUUUUUCAAAGCUGGGUUUUGUAGCUUCUUGUUUUUGGCUUUUUUUCACCCAAAACUGUGAAAAAAAACUGAAGCUGAAUGUUUACCAUACACAAAAAAGCUCCCAACUUUUUUCAGAAUCACUUCAGGACCAAAUCCGCCUAAAAACCUACCACUCCUCUCACAUUCUCUCUCUCCUUGUCUCUUCUUACCAUUUUUCUAAAGAAAAAAUGUGUUCAUACAUAUAAAAUAGGUAGGCAAAUGCUACUUUUGUAUAAAAAUAUAGUACCUGUUGUGUAAAAUACAAUUUUAAAAAAAAUUAUGAAAAGAAAGAAGUUAUUAAUCCUCUCUCUCCUCUCUCCCCCUGGAGAAAUCUCUCCUCCCUCCUGCAUCCUCGCUUCCUCUUCUCUUUCAACGGCGUUGCGGUCCACCGGUCACCAACGACUGUCAAAUUAUACCUCCAGAAUCCUCUUCCCGUCCUCUUUCCAAACCCCAGGUUAGUUUCUGCAAAUUCGUAACCGAAUUUCCUCAAUUUCAGAUCUAAGAAACGUAAGGAUUUUGAUCGGCUUUUGUGUGUUUUGUAGGCAUGGGAGCGGCGGGACGGUGAAGAGCGGGGUUGGAGUGACGUCGAUGUGUGUGAUGAGGCCGAAGCUGACGGUGAAGUCGAGCCAGUGGUUAUAGCGCGAGUUUUGGGUAUUUUCGCGUUUUCAAUCUCGAUUUUACACUGCUUCAAUUUGAUUUAGGAUUUUUUGUUGUUGUUGUUGUUUUUCUAUUUUAAUCUGUCACUGGUUGUAUAGAUUGCAAUACAACAUCAAUUGGGUUGUUGAAAAGUCAAGUUUUCUUGGUGUAAUUAUUGUUCUAACUAGAUGCCAAGAGUGUGAACAUCGAUUUGAUGCUUGUAUAUAUAUAUAUAUAUGUGUGUGUGCAGGUGGAGCGAAGUUGAAAGCUGACGAAGAUGUUCCACAGAGACGUAAGUUCUUUAUCUAUUUUCAAUAUAUUGUUCUUAGCUCAUCGCGUUUUCUUUAGACUAUGUUCUGUAAAAGCUUUAUUUUUCAAUUCAUAAAAAGCUGUGGGACUCUUAAAAGUUAUAGGCAAGAAGGGAAUGUGGUAAAGUGAGCUUCAUUGCAUGAAAAACUGGGGUCCAACGCCUGCGAGUAAUGCAUUGAGUUUUCUUGGUAGUAAUGCAUUUUUUUUGUUUUUAAUGUUUGAAAGUUUUGGUCUUGAACAUCACUGGCAUAUGUGGUAGUUGAUAUCAUAUUUUUUCAACUGUUUCUUAAUUUAAGUUUUUUUUUUUUUUAAUGGGUUAAACAGCUAACAAUGAGAAUUGAAUUUUUAAGUAGAGUACUUAUUUAUAGGAAGCAGGGUCUUAGAGAAAAUUGUAGUUAAUUCAAAUUCAUUAAUGUUAUUUUCCUUUUUUUUUUUCACAGGUUCGUGAAGCUUAUGAUCGUCUCUUCUCAGGUAUUGAUAUAACUUCAGGCAUCGGAGGCCCUUUGGUGGAUACAUUCCCUCAUUUUUUGGGUGUUUGUCAAUUAGAUUUACGAUGUUUCUUGAUUUGUAUGUGGAGUUUCGUCAUUUCAACUGUACGAAAUUUGCAUCCAUAGUGGCAAUGAUGAUGGUAACAUGAGUGAGGGUGUGGUUAACAAUGAUGGUGGUGGAAAUGGUGGUUAUGAGGGAGUAGGAUUGAUGAUGGCGGAGAUGGUGGAGGAGGUUGUGACGGUGGCGGCCCGGUGAUGGGGUGGUGAUGGGAUAGGUGUAGGAUCUGGUGCCAAUGAUGCUUGGUAGUGGAGAUAUGGCGGUAUGGAUGCUAUUUGCGAAGACCAUUGUAAGGUGGUAGCGGGGGAGGACAAGAUUUUUCUUUCUUAAAAUUCUAACCUUGUUUUAUACUUAGUUUGUGGUUUUUAUUUUGUUAUUAAACUUCACAGGAAAAAUAACUUUAAUGUUUUACAUAAUUUAGGCUAAUAUUGUAUUUUAUGUUAUUCGUUUUAUGGGUCUAUUCUUAAAAAUAACAUGUCUAACGCAUUUUAUAUUUCUCAUUACCAAACCUACACUUAUCCUCCCAAUAAUCUCCACAAAUGAAGAAAACUCUCCUAAUAAUCUCUCCAAAUUUAGCAAGGUAGGGAGGGAUUGGUCAUAGUAAUUAAGUGUUGAAUGUGUCAUCUAUGUGAGUUAUAAUUGAGACCUUCUACGUACAAGUAAGGAGAAAUAUCAUGUACUCCCUUUGUUAAAGUUGAGCGGGAAUUCGAAGUGGAUAACCCAAAUUAGAUCGUACCUUUUAUGCAACACUUCCUAACUGGUUAAUGAUGGGAGAGGAAGGGGAUAGCAAACCUGAGCAAAUUGAACUCCUUCCGUCAUCUUGAACAGUUACAGAAAUAUGAUUAAUGCAAGGAGGAGGUUUUAUGUCUAUGCCUAUCAAGACAAGAAAAUAUGUCAUAAAAGUGAAGGGCAAAUAAUUAAUAGAAAGAGAAGUAUGUUGUACACUAACUGUCAUAAAUCCAUUGUUGCCAGAAAUUGAGCUCUACUCCGCGCCGGAAUGAAGAAGCCUGCUGCAAUGCCAAAAUUUCUAAAGGGGUCUUGUCUCCGCUGCCCCGAGUAAAGGCCAAUUUUGGGCAAUGGUUCAUUAAACGCCAUGAGAUAUCUGUUUAUUUUAAACGUUUAAGAAUUUUUCAGAAAUAAUUAGUUUGCUAUAGUAAUUUGUAGCUAUGGGUAAAAAGAGUAAACUGUAGCUAGAAUAAGCUAUUUAUUUUUUAAGUCACAUGAUCAUUUCGUUUUCAGUUUUUGUAAUCAUGAUUUUAAUUUGAAAACCAAAAACUUGUUUGAUAAAUACUUUUAACUUUCAGAUUUCAUAAAAAUAAAAAUAAAAACUGAAAGCUAUUUUUUUAAGUUUUCAAACAUUUAAUUUCAGUUUUUAUUUUUAUUUUUUUUUAGAAAAUUGAAAGUAGUUUACCAAACAAUUGAAAUGAUUAUCAACCGAACCCUUAAUUUUCAUUUUUGUAGUCCUCAAUAGCAUGUUAUUACUCAUAUUUAAAAACUUUUUACCAAAUUCUUUGGAUGCAAAACAAUUGCAGAUUAUUAUAGCGCCAUGAGGUCCUUUGUCUGGCAUUAAAUCUUCAAGUGGAGUCUUGGAGUAGAGAAAUUGAGCCAUAUGCCAAUGACCAUACAAAUAAGCUAGCUCAAUUGGAAGCAUGUCGUGUCCAUCGGGAAUGCUGAGUAAUUCUUUGUUCUUUGGUACCAUGCAUUCAGCCAUUUUGGUAAUCCCUUUAAUUGCAGCAGUAGCAAGAGCUGUCCGAUGAUCUGUUGUUGCUUUUAUUCCCAAGUCGUCCACUUCCAUCAACCUCACCAAUUCUUUGACAAUAUCCACAUGCCCAGCCUCAACUGCAAUGUGAAGAGCUGUCUUCCCAGACGCUGGAUGUGUUACUCUUACUGCCUCCGGAUGUUUGAUGGGAAAGUCCUUUGUAGUUUCCCAACGACCAGCUUGCACAGCCUCAAAGAAAGGUUUACACUGACUAUAUCCAAAUCCUGUCAAAUUAACCUUGUUUUGUUAUUGUUAAUUUCCCCAUAAUUCUUUAGUUUGAUGCAUGAACUAUUUUGUACUUUAACUUCAAUCAUAGAAACGAUGGAAGAUAAUGUUAUGGGUUCCUUGUUAUUUAACUUUUUAAUGAAGUUAUAUGAAAUUAUAUGACAACUAGAAAAAUUAUAUGGGAUCAUUGUGAUUAACACUCCAAAGUGUUAGGAAAAUAGAGCAUGAAAUUUAAUCACAAGGAAAACCAAGAAAUCAUUCAUACCAUUAAUUAAAUACACAGUUUAAAUAUGUUCAAACAAGGCUUUUUAGCCAAAAUGGUCUAUGAGAUUUGAAAUCAAUGGAAGCGGAUCUCGGAGAUUGUCCAUCAUCAAUCAUUUUUGUUAUUCGGUGAAAAAUUAUGUUUAAUAAGGAUCAAAAUAACAAAAAAAUACCCUCAGUUUAAUAAAUAAUAGGCCAAAAUGAUUUGACAAAAUUUGAGGAUAUUUUUGUCAUUUUAUUCUUAUUUUAUGGAGAUUUUUCACGCAAUGACCAAAAUGAUUGUUUGUGGAUAAAUUCAAGGACCAACUCUAUCGAUUUCAAAUCUUAAAGACCAAAGUGAGGAGUUAUGCAAAUCUCCAGCAUCAUUUUGGCUAAAAAUCCUUCAAUCAAUUAAAAAAAAAAAUGCUAAAUGUGCAUGAAUAUGAAUAUGAAUAUGGUUACAAAUAUAUGAAAAUUAUGGUAAAAUUAGACAUACAAUGCUCAUGAUUGAUUACGUGUGUGAUUGUGCUAGGGAAAAGUGAUCCCAAUAUGAUUGCAGGAAGGAGAGUCAUUUACAGUAAAUCUCUAUAAAGUAAUAAUGUUAUGACAAAACCAAUUUUAUAAGUAUAGGAAGAUUAUUCCUUAAUAAAGGUGUAUUAAAAAAAAGACUUGGAUAUUCUUAAUUAAAGUUAUAUGGAUACAAAAAACGACAUUAGUAGUAGAGCAUACCAAUUUUGAGAUGUGACAUUGAAAGAAGAGUCACCUAAUCUCUAAAAGCUAGUACAUAUAUGUAACAAUAAAUUAUUGCCUUAUUAUUUGACCCCGCCCCCCACCACCCCACCCCCCCUGUAACAAUAAAUUAUUGCCUUAUUAAUUGACCCCACCCCCCGCGAGAAAAACUUGUAUGGAGCUUGGCUUGCCACUGGACUUUGCUGAGUGGCACUACAAUCCACUUAAAACUCGCCACGUGACAAGUCUUAAAUAUAAUCUUUUAUCAUUAUUUUAUAUUUAAAAUUUUUAAAAUUAUUUUUUUAAAUAAUUAAUAUAUUAUAUAUAUUAAUGUUAUGUUUCCUUUUUUAUUUCUUUCCCCCUAUUUUUUUCUUCCCAAAUCCCCCCACACUUGUUAUUUACCCGUAGGUCUUAGGACUCCCUCCCCUUUCUUUCCUUUCCAGUUUCGUUUCUUUCUUUCUUUUAAAAAAAAAAAAGUUAUGCAGCCACUCCAAUUUUAUCAUGGAAAGCAAUCAAUAAUCUGUAAGUUUCUUUUCUUUCUUUAUACAAUAAAACUCUGAUAAAAAACAUUAGCUGUUAAAAAACUUUUAUCAUAUUAUAAAUAUAAAAAACCAAAACCCUCACCCGAACCCAAAAACCCCCCAAUUAAAAGAAAAAAAAAUAACCCUAAUACAGCUAUAUAUGUGGGUUAUUCAUGUCACAUGAUCAAAGCAACUAUUGUAUAAAGAAAGAAAAAAACUUACAAAUUCUUGGUUGCUUUCCAUGAUAAAAUUGGAGUGGGGUCAUAACUUUUUUUUUUUUUUAAAGAAAGAAAGCCAUCAAUCUUCAUCUACCAUUAAGAACUAUUCCAUCAACCGCCAUAGCAAAACAACUAAAUCGGCAGACCUCAACUGUGCUAUGUAAAAAUCAAAAUGGUAUUAGGAGCUUUAUUCAUCAAUUUAGAAUUAAACAAACUCAUUUAAAUGAAAUUUUGAAUUAGUUUGAACAAUUAGGGUGCGUUUGGUACGUGGGAUGGGACGGAACCGUUCCGUCCCACGUUUGGUGCCUUAAAAUUGUGUGGAACACGCGUCCCACGGAACGAAAAAGGGUCAGAUUUUGGUUCCCCCUCCCCCCCUGGAACAGGUUUUUCCAUCCCGUGGGACACAAUUUUUUUUUUUUUGGACAACAAUACCCCUUUUAUUUUUCAUUAAUUACAUUGUCUACCUCCCUUCUCUCCCGUAACCUCCCUCUGUUCUACCACAAAUCCAGUAACCCAAUCCCUUCUUUCCCGUAACCUCCCUCUUCAUCCACCACAAACCCAGUAACCCAAUCCCAGCAAACCCAUCCGACGACGACGACGUCACCACCGUCACCAGCAAACCCCUCUUCUUCUCCGGCGUCGUCACCACCGUCACCAGCAAACCCUCUUCUUCUCCGGCGCCGUCACCAUGGAGCCGUCACCAGCAACCCCUCUUCUUCUCCGGCGCCGUCACCAUAGCCAGGCCGACGACGACGACGACGAUGCACGGAGGAUGAUGACGACGCUGCAGGGAAGACGCUGCAGGCCGACGACGACGACGACGCUGCACGGAGGAUGAUGACGACGCUGCAGGGAAGACGAUGACGACGCUGCAGGGAAGACGAUGACGACGCUGCAGGGAGGACGAUGACGAAGCUGCAGAAAUUGAUUGAAAUGAAUUUUGGGAUUUUUCUGUGUUUGAUUUUGGGAUUUUUCUGUUUUUUUUCUUCUUGUAAUUGUUUGCUGGUGACGAGAUCUGAAAUUGAUUGGAGGGUUUGCUGGUGACGAGAUCUGAAACUGGAUUGGUUGCCGAGAAAACGAAGGAAAACGAAAACUGGGGUCUGAUUGUUUGAGUUCAUACUCGCACUCAGCAAUUGUACAAACAAGGCUAAGUUAGUCAUUUAACACGAAAUCCAAACCGUUCCGUCCUACGCGUACCAAACAUAACACGAACCUCCGUUUCGUUCCGUCCCGUUCCGUCCCGUCCCGUCCCGUCCCAUCCCGUUCCGUUCCGUCUGCGUACCAAACGCACCCUUAGGUACUGACUGACUAAUCCAAGGAUAACCACAUCUCCUAAGACCUAUGGCAAAACAAAGUGUGGGGAGGAUUUGGGAAGAAAAAAAAUAGGGGGAAAGAAAUAAAAAAGGAAACAUAACAUUAAUAUAUAUAAUAUAUUAAUUAGUUAAAAAAAUAAUUAUAAAAAUUUUAAAUAUAAAAGAAGGAUAAAAUAUUAUAUUUAAGAUUUGCCAUGUGGCGAGUUUUAAGUGGAUUGUAGUGCCACCCAGCGAAGUCCAGUGGCAAGCCAAGCCCCAUACAAGUUUUUCUCCCCCCCCCGCGGGCGGCGCCCGCGAAACUACCAUUUAAUCUUACUUUAACCCUUGAAACUGAUUUUAUCUCGAUUUGUCUCUGAAACUGUCAUUUUUGUCUCAUUUAGUCUUAAUUCACUCUAUUUUCAUACAUAUAAAAAAAGGUGUAGUUGCAGCCGUUGGAUUCAUUGAGUGGAUUGAAUUAGUUUUGAAACACAACCCAUUAUUUGCUUUUGUCAACCGUUGUAGCUAUAGCUCCACACCAAUCCGUAAGAGAGACAGACAAAGGGUUUAAAUUAGAGUUAUCAAAAAAUGGAAUUGAGAUUGUUUUAGCAGGCAAGUUGGAGGCAAAGAGUUGUGUAAAAAAUAAAAUGUCCAUACUACCCUAUAGUUUAACAUCUAUUUUACGGAAUGAACGAAAAUAGGAGUGAACUGAGACUAAAUGAGACAAAAUUAGAACCAAAAUCGCCAAAUUAAUUCAUGGAGUUAGAUUUGUACAUUGUAUCAAAUUAAGUCAAGGAUUUAUAUUUCUACAUGGAAUUAAAAUCGCGCACAUCUGCAGACGAAUGUGGAGAUGAGUGUGGCCCUUGCACCAUGACGUGAGUUCGAACCUAGUCGACUUUAUAAUCUAACAUCUAAUUUAACAAAUAUAUCGUUUGACAAAAAAAAUUAAAUGUGUUGGAAUAGAUAUUUCUGUUGAUAUUGUUUUUGUUUGAAUUAAGUUAUAUGUAUCAUGUGAAGAUUAAUUGAAUUGUACAUCAGUGGGAAGAUUCCGUACAAAAAACAGAUUUGUGGGAUAAGGACUCCUUGAAUCUCUUAUCUGCGCAAAAGAUGGACAUGUUAUGUAGUAUUUUAAUCAUUAAUUUUUUAUUAUUAAUACAUGUAUUUUGGUUUGAUAUGACAUUCUUUAAAGUAUUAUUUUAAUUUUUAAGCAAAUUUUUAACAUUUUUGUUGAAGGCAACCGAUAUCAAUAUUUUAAUAAAUUUUUAUACGAUAUUUCCACUUAUAUUGAUAUUUUAAAUACUAGAUGACACACAAAUGUGGCAUGAAAACAUAGUAUCUUAGCAUUUUCUUAAGAAAAAAGUAUAGACGAUUAUUUAAUUUGAUAAUGAAAUAGGAAAGGACUUUUUUUUUCGCUGUUCUUUUGGCAAGGAGACGCAGACACACCUUGUUCCAUUUGUUCCUCGGUCUCCGAAACACCUUGUUCCGUUUGUUCCAUGGUCUCCGAAACACCUUGUGCCAUAUUCGACCUGUGAUUCGGUGGAGCAUAUUAUAUAUAGUAUCUAAACAAACAAAAACUUAGCAAUGAAAUUAAUGUAGUCUAAUUACUACUUACGGAUUGGAAGGAAUGGAAGCCAACAAACUGCAGGUAGCUAGUUAUUAAAGUCUAGUAAGUAUGCAAAUAAUAAAAAAACAAAGGAAAACUAAUGAAAAGGGCUUGAAAACUUUGAGUUUUAAUGAUAAGGACAAAAUAAAGGGUAAAGUGAAUAGUACCAGGAUUGACUUUUUAGUGUAAAAAUGUGGUUUUUCGUUAAAGUGAACAGUACCGGGAGAUUUUCGUUAAAGUUUCCAUAAAACAAAGGCUUGCAUUGGCAAACUAAUAAGAAGAAAAUGGGGGAAAGUGGGAAGCUACUUAGAAAUGAAGACGUGCAUGGGCUGCUUUUCCUAGAAUAAUAUUAGAGCAAUUCUGCCCUUAAAACAAUGCGCCAGUACCCAGCCUAUUUAAUCCACUCAGCGAAUAAUGAUAGAUUCCAAUGAACAUUAAUAGGUCAAAUGCACCUCCACCCCUAACAAAAAAAAAGCCUACCCCAUUUUAUUAAAAUAUGAUUAAAUAAAAUGCAUCUCCAAUUGGACCUUUAAAAUAAUGAUAUUUUUCCUCUCAUUUGACCGGUUCUUUCUCUUUUCUUUCUUUCUCUCUCUCUCUCCUCUCUCUCUCUCUCUCUUUCCCUCUCUCUCUAUCUAUUUUCUCUCUGUCUCUCUGGAAAGUCUCUCUUUUCCAGCUCACUCCCAUGAGCUCUCCUUCUCCUUCCUCUUCAAAACCUUCAACAAAUCAAACACAAAAUAUUAUUUUUGUAAUCCCUGGAGCUCAAGGAACCCAACCAUGGCCUUGCAUGCGACAUAAGUGCAUGGUGCAAGGUUCUACCAUUGAAGUCGAGAGCUUGAGCUCUCAAUCUCUAACCCAGGUGAUGUUUCUAUCACUAUAUUGUGUUCUUGAGCUUUAAAUCCUGUUAUGUUGCAAGUUUUGUGGUUAAUUUGAGGGCUUAAUUCCCUGCAUGUGAUUCCGACAAAGGAAAACGGACAAACUCCGACGAGUUCAAGGUCCAAUUCUCGGUGAAAUCUCUUGCAUUUCACCUGGGUAAGUUCUCAAUCCUAUUCUUAUCGUUUCUAACUUAUAAAUCAUGUUGAAACCUUUGCGUUGAUGCAAACAUGAUGGCGGUGCAUUUUUUUUCAGAUUUUUCGACGAACUCGGGCCAUCACUUUCAGGCAAUUUGCCUUCUCCCUCCAUGGCUCCUUCCCUCCCAACACCCUCUCCUACCUCGACCAGCUCCGCUCCUCAGCCUCCACAACAACUCCCUUUCUGGCGCAAAAAAAAGUGACUGACGUUAGCCUGCGUCAUGUAGGCCGUCCCAUGGGUCUGUUAAUUCUGGGCCGGUCUCUUGUUUGGCUUAGGCUGGGUGCUAGCCUAUCCGCAGGGCUGGACUGCAAAGCCUGCAAAGCCUGGGUGCCGGGCCAUUUUUUGGAUAGGUGUUAGCCUAUCAGUUCCCUGGUGGAACUGCUCUUAAGGAUCAGCUGGACACGCAACCUCUGCUGGAAUAUUGGUAUCAUAUUCCUAACAUAAAUGCAAAGUUGGGCAAAGCCUUGUUAUUAACUGAAGAGGAUUUAAUAAGCAAACCUACCUAAACGGGUUAGGUCAACGGUCAACGGGUCAAGUCAACCAGGUCUCCGGAAACCCCACCGAAAACUAGGUUUUUUGCUGGAAAUUUGGGCAAUUUUCAAAGCCUCGUAACUUCUCCGUUUCUUAACCAAAUUCAACCUAUAAUAUAUCAAAACGAAGUUAGGAAAGUGUAGAACAAGAUUAUUCCUAUUUGGAAGCCCAAUGGUUGCCACAAAUGGCUGAAAAAAUGGUUUGAAAGGUGACUGGUCCACGAGAAAGCUGGGGAAACUCACUAGAAAUUGGGUAAAAUUUAAACGUUUAGAACUUAUUCAAUACUCAACGAAAUCCAAUGAUUCAAAAAUAAAAAUCAUACUUCUCGAUGAGACAAAGAGAAUGGUACCUUUUGCAACGCCUAACUCACAGUGAUUUGCCCAGAAAAUGGCCUAGAAGGUCGAGGCUUGACUUGGGUUUCGAUCCCGACGACUCGGAAGGAAGUUUGAGGUGAGUUUGGGUGUUCUAGGCUCGUGAGAAUGAGGAAGCUCGUGGUGCACUUGGUUUGGGUGGUGGUGGGAGUGUUGUUGUUGUUGUUUAUUUAUAGAGAAAGAAAGAUGAGAGAGGUGAGAGAAAUGAGAGAAGGGAGAGUUUGGAGAGAGAGAGAGAAAGAAAGAGAAAGAGAGAGAGAGAGUUUACAUAAAAAGAAAAGGGGAGAGGGAUGUCAAGGUGAAGGAAGAAGAAGCAUGGGAAUAAGGUGGGUCCUAGUGGUUUACAAAAUAUGACCACAAAAGACGAAUUGUGAAAAUAUUGAAAUAUACUUGACGUUACGAAGAGGUCGCACUUGGUGCGAUGGCAAGUGCCUUCGCCCAUGAGCGGUAGGUCUCGGGUUCGAGACUUGGGAGCAGCCUCUCCAUAAAUGGGGGUAAGGCUAGCCGACAUUCACCUCUCCCAGACCCUGCGUAAGCGGGAGCCUUGUGCACUGGGUACGACCUUUAUACUUGACGUUACGAAAAUUAGGACGAAAGUAACAGAAUAGUGUUUGGUUGUUGAGCUACAGUCGGUUGAUUUGGCAUGGGAUCUGGUUGACCUGGUCCUGUCCUUAUUUCUCUGGUAGGAUAUAAAUAUUGAAAUACACUUGAUGUUACGAAAAUUAGGAUGAGAUAUUACACUCUAGUAUUUUUACUUAUGUCAUAUAUUCUUAGUUGAAAGUUGACCCAUAGAGUUAGUCUUUUUUUAUGUAACAACUUAUUUAACCUAAGAUCAGUAAAGGAUUUAGUACAAAACUUGUCAUCCACAAGAGUCAACUGAAGAUGAAUACCACUAGAUUGUAUCUCCCAUCUAAAACUUAAAGGUUAAAAAUUAUGAAGUCAUAUUUGACUCUAAAUGUGGUGGUGCAAGUUAUUUUAUAUACAAUGCAUAUGAAAUCAAAUUUGACUUUUAACUUUUUAACUCUAGUAAAUUGGAAGGAGCCUAGUCAAAUUUAGAGACAAAUAUAAUUUUUGUAUCUUAUGUGGUGAGGAUCCCACAUUUAGAGCUAUAUCAAAUGUCAACUAUGACUUUGCACUUAAUUAUAUAUGAAUAUAACCUUGCAACUACAUCACAAUUGCGGUGAAGGGAACAACGAGGAUGCCUUUGCUAGCCUGCCAGGUUGCGCGAAUGAAUCCGUUUAGUGCAUAUCUGAGACGAUCUUCUCAGAUAUCAACGAUCCGAAUGGGAGAUGAUGAGCAACAUUAGAGUAAUCUAGCUAGACAUAAAGGCUAUGGGUAAGCCUGACCAUGAUAUGAGUAGGUUAUUUCUUAUCUAUUGUGUUUGAACCCAAUUGAAUGCUGAAUCACUUGCAGUGCCUGCCAUUGCAUUAUAUUGCAGAACUAUUUCUACAAACAAAUGCACUUACGACUGCACAAUUGCUGAAGAAACUUAAAAGUGCUUCUAGAUAGAAGCGUUUUCUAAAAAAGCACGUGCUAAGUGCUUCUCCAAAAAACAAUCCCAAGCCUUUUUCCUAGAAACACACUGAUUUUAGUAAAAACUUGUGUAUUUUUAAUAAAAGCACUUGCCAACAAAAGUGCUUACAAAAACAGUUUCAUAUCCCCGAUUUGGCUGGAAUAUGCUCCAUUGCAAUUUCCGGACAAGAGAAUUUUCUUGUUAAACUCAACAGAAGUCGAUCAUCAUUUCGCGUGAGACCAUUUGACGGGUUGUCUGUAGCUUCCUAGUGGUGAGACUUUUCUACCAAGCAUUUAACAUACAAGUUAAUAAUACAACCUCUACUUGUUUGGAAGUAUACAAGCAAACGGCCCACCAAUCAUAAAGACUUGUGGCAAAGACUUUGACUCUUCAAGUCCACUACCACUACCACUACCCUUUGUGUAUAUUAACGGUACUGUUGAUGAUUGAGAAUCUUUAAUUUAGACCACACGAGCAUUCAAAGUCUUUGAUCCGUGAGAGAGAGAGAGAGAGAGAGAGAGAGAGAGAGAGACUUAAAUGAAAACAAAUUCAGUGUAAUUGUGGCAUAAUUAUGUGGCGUAUGAUGCUGAAAUUCAGAUUAAACAAAUAAAAUUGUUUGUAGAAAAUAACAAAGCCAUGCAUAGGGAAUGUUGAAUAAAAUUUUAUAAUUUUUAUCAUAUUAUCUUUUGCUGGCGGCUGUUUGGUUUAUGUGUUUGGAAGGAGGCAAACCAUUUUUUUUUAAAGGAAAACUAACGAAAAGUUUAAAAAAAAUUUAGUUUUAAUGAAAAAUAACAAAUAAAAGUGUAGUGAAUAGUACCAGAAAAAGGUAAAAAUGUGGUUUUUCAUUAAAAGUGAACAGUACUGGGAGUGUUUCGUUAAAAGUCCUAUUUAUUUUAUUAUUAUUUUUUAUUUUUUAAAUUUAGAGCAUCUCUAGUGGAGUUCCUAAAUAGGGACAACCACCACAUUAAAUAAGUAUAAAACAAAUACAAUGAUAAAAUGAAUCGGAAAGUGAGUCCCUAAAGUAUAGGGACUCACCGGAUAAUUGGUAUAUGUACUAACAUAUAAGGACUGUGUAACAUCCCACAUCAACCAACGGAGAGGGGGUGAUGUGCCUUAUAUGUACAUGCUCCCCUCCCUAUAGCACGAGACAUUUGGGGAACUCACUGGCUUCGGAGGACUGAAAUGAUAGACUUGUUUUUGCAAUUUGAGUGGAAAAGUUAUACAAAAGUCUCCAUUUUUCUCUCUCUUAAAGACAAUUCAAAUUUCUUCUACCACCGACCCUAGCCUUUGACUUGGGUGUCGGAGGCAUCCACCCUUCCUUCCUUUCUUCUGUUCAUCUCUUUUCUCUCUUCUAUGUUUCCUCCAGAGUUUUCUUAGGUUUUCUCUCAUUUGCUCGCUCCCUAUUUUCCUCCAUUCUCAUCUCUCCUUCACCCUCUCUGCUUCCCUAUCCUCUUCUUUCACCUUUCUUUUUCCAGUUUUCUCCAUUCCUUUUUAAUUCUCAGUUCUCUCAUGAGUUUAAUCUCAGUUUUCCUUGAGUCGAGUCUCAACUAUCUUGGGCUUCAUGCCCCUUAUUUGGCGCUUUUUGCAUAGCUUUACUGAUUUCUAUCUUUUAAUUUCCUUUCCCCUCCUCCCUAGCUGUGAUAUUGCAUCCUUAUCCCACCAUGUGCUCUGAUUGGCGGGCAUUGUUCAGAAAUUAGAUAUCAGAUCCACUUCCCUCCCUCACUUCCCCUCCCCCAAUCAGCAUGUCGGAUUCUCACCGGAUAAUUGGUAUAUGUACUAACAUAUAAGGACUGUGUAACAUCCCACAUCGACCAAUGAAGAGGGGGUGAUGUGCCUUAUAUGUACAUGCUCCCCUCCCUAUAGCACGAGGCAUUUUGGGAACUCACUGGCUUCGGAGGACUGAAAUGAUAGACUUGUUUUUGCAAUUUGAGUGGAAAAGUUAUACAAAAGUCUCCAUUUUUCUCUCUCUUAAAGACAAUUCAAAUUUCUUCUACCACCGACCCUAGCCUUUGAUUUGGGUGUUGGAGGCAUCCACCCUUCCUUCAUUUCUUCUGUUCAUCUCUUUUCUCUCUUCUAUGUUUCCUCCAGAGUUUUCUCAGGUUUUCUCUCAUUUGCUCGCUCCCUAUUUUCCUCCAUUCUCAUCUCUCCUUCACCCUCUCUGCUUCCCUCUCCUCUUCUUUCACCUUUCUUUUUCCAGUUUUCUCCAUUCCUUUUUAAUUCUCAGUUCUCUCAUGAGUUUAAUCUCAGUUUUCCUUGAGUCGAGUCUCAACUAUCUUGGGCUUCAUGCCCCUUAUUUGGCGUUUUUUGCAUAGCUUUACUGAUUUCUAUCUUUUAAUUUCCUUUCCCCUCCUCCCUAGCUGUGAUAUUGCAUCCUUAUCCCACCAUGUGCUCUGAUUGGCGGGCAUUGUUCAGAAAUUAGAUAUCAGAUCCACUUCCCUCCCUCACUUCCCCUCCCCCAAUCAGCAUGUCGGAUUCUUAUCGAGGUUAAGCGUUGGGUAUUUUACAUACCCCUCAGGCUCACCUUCUUCCCAUGUGUUACUUUGUUUGUAUAUAUUUGUAGGAGUUCGUGAAUGGGACUUGGAUCUAGUGUCUUUCUCGGUUCGGAGUUCAGCUUCCUCCGAGGAUAUGACGGCGGUGGCGAACCUUCUUCCCAUAUGUUACUUUGUUUGUAUAUAUUUGCAGGGGUUCGUGAAGGGAACUUGGAUCUGGUGUCUUUCUUGGUUCGGAGUUCAGCUUCCUCAGAGGAUGUGACAGUGACUAUGAUGUGGUGUUUGCUGGUGGAGAUUAGGUUUUUGAUUCUUUUGUUUUAUGUGGCAUUCGGGCCUAAGCUUGUGUGGGUUUCCCAUUGUAUCUUGGGUUGUUGCUCUCAUUUUGCUUGUGUAAUGACCCGAAAUUUCUAAUUUGGAAGCUAAUUACUAAGAUAGGCCCAAAAUUAUUUUCUUAGCCAAAAUUUCACUAAAAGAAAAAUCUUUGGUAUUUUAUUAUGGCUGCAUUUAACCUCAUUGUUAGACUGCCUACGUACCCCACUAGUAAUUCACAUUUCACUUCUAGAUCAACAGACUAAAAUUUCAUUUUGAUCUAACGGUCGGAUCUCUGCCAAUCACAACAUCAAGUGGCGGUCGACGUUUUAUUUUAUUUUACGAACUUACAAAUACAAUUCGGGAAGAUCCAUAUGUCGGAUUCCCAAUCUGUAAGUUCCUAAGAUCAUCAAAUAUUACGUACUUCAAUGUAUCAAAGUUUGGUGACGAUCCAACGGUUGGAUCGUCGUUUCACAAUUUGAUCAGGAACGAUAUCGUAGUGAAUUUAGGUUCAAACGAUCAAUCUACGUCAUACGAAUAUCAAAACUAAAUUCAGAACAUCGAAUUAGCCUAAAAAUAGCAUUGACGGCCCUCUGGCCACACAUCGCCACACUUGCCGCUGUGGAUGGCGGUCGAUCGCCCCGACUCGUCGGAAAAUUCCAAAUAUUUCUAAAAAUUCUCAAAAUUUGUAGAAAUGAAGAUCUUGAAGAGUAGAACAAACUUUAUACAUGCGGUCAAGUCCAAUUUGGCUAGGAAAAGCUCCAAUUUCACUCAAAACCCGCCGGAACCCUAGAAAAUUGAAUGGCCUCGAUCCUCCACCAUCGGUGCUCUGCCCCCCCCCAACCAAAGCUUGGGAAAUAUUCCUGGGUUCAAGAGAAGUCAACUCAUGGUGGUGGUCCAUGUGGUAGCUUCAGAAAUGGCGGGAACUGCCGUGGGUGCCCUCAGACUCACCGGAGAGAACGGGGUUUGUUCUUCGUGAAAUUGUGACCCACUGUCUUCAAUCUUGGGUGGAACUGGAAGCUGGGAUGACAAUGAGUUGUUUGGGGGUAAUGGCGAUGCCCAGUUCUCCAGGAGGACGCCGGAAUUGGCAUCGGGAUUUUGCUAUUUGGGUCGGGUCACGUAGGUUGAGGGAGACCCGGUUUCCCCUUCUUUUCUUUUAUCCCAUGUCUCCUUUCCCUCUUCCUCGUUGGGCCAAAAAUCCCCAUCCACCACUCUCUUUUCUUCCUUUCUCUUAUUUUCUUUUAAUCUGAGUUGUCCACGUGUCAUCACAGAUAAUGCUCAAAAUCUAGAGCUUCAAGAUGAAGCAAAAAUUACAUAUACAACCCUCGUUUUAAACGUUAAUAACUCUUUCGUCAUAAUUCCGUUUCACGAAGGUUUUUGCCUACGCACUCGUAGGAUCGAACUCUAUCCAAUAUGUCAAGAAAUAUAACAAAAUACAUGAGGAUAAAAUACGUCCUCGAAAAAUUACGUUUAACCCCCCCAUUAGGACAUUUCUGUCAUUUCCACUUGUCGAAAAAAAAAAUUCACCUAGCCACAUAUUUUAAAAUUUUCCAGGGUAUUACAGCUUGGGCCUUUAUUUUCUCUGCAGUUGUUUAUCCUGUUCUUUUUGAGCCUGGUACUAGUUUUUUUAUUGUAAUGAAAGUUGUCUUCGUGAUUAAAAAAAAUGGAAAAGUUGGUAAUGCAAGUAUAUCUACGUUUAGAUGUGGGUAAAAUGGCUGGGAAGUAAAUAUGUCCACUGCAAACUGCAAAGCAACAGCUUGCACUUUGUAAAACAAUAUUUAUAUAUUACUCAUGACUAUACUAAUUGUGGGUGUCAUAACAUUUUUUUUUUUUGGUAAACGGGUGUCAUAACAAUUUGGAACUUAGCCAAUGGUGGUAUAUCAUUUUUUUCCCCAACUUGUCAAUCCCCAGUCACCCUUGCCAUCAUAGAUCCGCCCCUUUCCCCACUCAUUGGUUUGGUGAUAGAAUAUUGUCUCCAUAUUUCCUUUCCUUUGUUAUCUGUAUGCCAAAAUAGAUAUUUGUGAACAUAUAGUAAUAAUAAAAUUCUAUCACUAUCAGAGUCAGAAUGAAGUCAGAGAUUUGUGUGAAUGAAGCAUCCUCCAACAACAGAACUACACUUAAAAAACUCAAGAACUUAUUGAACACUUAAAUAUUAAUCUAUACAGUUUUUGAUACAUUAUAUUGCAAUAUCCCUUGACGCGUUUUCAUGUUCUGAAAGCGUUUUAUGACAACAUGAUUAUCAAUACCAUCAAAUGUCUCUCAAUAACAAUAAUCAUGUUAUCAUUUAUCCAUUGAUCUCUUAUUCGAUUUCUCAUUUAAUUCUUCAGAAGUUUCAUGGCUGAAAAUGCUCUUCAACGGUGGCAGUAACAACUGAAAGAGUUAGUGCUAAUGUCACAAGCAAAUAAACCAGCUGAUAUUUUUGCAAGAUAUCCAAUACCUUUUAUACCGGAAAACUGAAUGCUAAACCACAUAUCCACAAUGUUAAGUCUGAAAUUGAAUCUUAAGUAUCUCCUGCUCAUUUAUAGAGAAAUCCUUAGAAUAAAACUGAGCAAGACAUAAUUAAAUUAAUUAUUAAUUUAAUUGUCAUCCCGUGGGGUUUUGGGGGAUGCAAAAAGUAGAAUUAUCUUAAUUGUCUACCUAUUUUUUCAAAGGAAAACUAAUAAAAAGGGUUUGAAAACUUUGAGUUUUAACAAUAAGGACAAAAUAAAGGGUAAAGUUAAAAGUACAAGGAAUGAUUUUUUAGCGUAAAAAUGUGAUUUUUCGUUAAAGUGAACAGUACUGGAAGUUAAAAAAAUCUGAGUGGGUGUAUCCGCCCCUCCUAGGCCCAUGAUCAGAGCUUCAAAAUAGUAAUUUUUGUGUUCAUAUAUUUUAUGUUUUUUUUUCUAUGUAGAGGGAGUGGAAGAUGACUAUUUUUGGAAGGGGUGUGAUAUUCACACACUCUUUUUUACUUCUCACAUAUCCUUCUAAGUUUUGGCCGUUGGAUCAGAUGAAUUCAAGAAAAUCAAAAGACAAAAAUUAACAAGAAGUGUGUGAGAAGUAAAAAUGAGUGAAUGAAUAACACACCCCUUUUUGGAAUUCCAACAACUCCCACUAUAAGAGAAUGAGAGAUUAUAUUCACAUAUCCCCAAAUUACUUUCCCCAUACCAUUUUACUUUUAUUCAAUAUUUUUUGAUAUUCUACACACCAGUAGCACUUGAUAGAAAAAAAUUAAAAAAUUAAAAGGGUGUGAGGGAAGUAAUUUAGAAGGUGUGAAUAUAACGUCUCUAAGAGAAAAAAUUGUUUCGCACAUGCUAGUGUUCGUUAUUGAGUGAUAGCUCCCUAUUUGGCUAGAAGAUGCAAUCUCGAGGCUUCCUCUCUCUAAGCUAGCAAGACGAGAUCGGUAUUUUCCUUAGUUACUAAUAACGCAUUUUCAUAUGUAUAACUUUGUCACAUCACAAGGGAUUAUUGACACGAAAUAUUUGCCACAACAAAGACACAAAGUGUAAGUCAAUCUCAAAACAUAUGGCAUAUUAUAUAAUCAAAAGUAAUCCUACUUAGUUAACAUCGAUCAAAUAUUUACACCAUAUCAAACACGGUAUAUCAUCAAUCUCCAACACUGUAAAUUAAUAUAUGCUACCAACCAAUCACAACCCCUAGCUAAUACUGUCAACAAAGAUCGUCCCUUGUGAGUUUGAAAGGUUGCUAAGUUUAUAAUUUAACAUCUCAAUUUUAUAACCAUAUAACGAAAAAAUAGACGGUGGUAAACAAAAGUGGUGACAUGUGACACAAAAUCUUAGGCCAAAACCCAAAUGCCACGUGUCACUCUUCCAAAACCCAAAUGCCACGUGUCAAUCUUCCAUAGAUGCACCCACCGUUACCUGACUUUUAAUGAUGUCCACUUGUUUAAAUACUUGCGAUUUCUGCGGAAUUUUUGGGACUCCUUUACUUCCGUCAAAUAACUACUAAUAUUAAAAUCUUGUAAAAGGUCCAUAAUACCCUCACUCCAAUGCUCUCAGAUUUGACGUUGGGUUGCGUAAUUAACACUAAGAUGGAAAGGGUAAAGGGGUCCCGAAAUAUCAUCAAAUCUCAGCUGCCAGUCCCGAACACUCCACUGUCUCCCUCUAAACUCUCUGAAACUCUCUCUGAAAAAUUUCUUGUUACAUGGCGUCCUCUUCAAUGGCAGCGAACGGAGUGCUCACGCCGCGAUCGUCGGUGUUGCCGAACUCGAAGCAAACCCAGAACAUCAGCCGCCUCUCCUUCAGCGGCUCUCAUCUCUCCGGGACCAAAAUCCCCGCCCCCAGCACCUGUAUGAGGAAAUGCCCCACUCACAGAGUCCCGCCGCUGGUUGUCUCUCCGAAGGCUGUUUCCGAUUCCAAGAACUCCCAGACGUGUCUUGAUCCCGAUGCGAGCCGGGUAAGUGAUUCAUUUCUCUCCCUCUCUAUCGCAUUUGGUG